This 292-nucleotide ribosomal RNA is filed under the name uncultured bacterium. Its description in RNAcentral is "partial 16S ribosomal RNA". The record is from RNAcentral.
GGACUACUGGGGUAUCUAAUCCUGUUUGCUCCCCACGCUUUCGCUCCUCAGCGUCAGUAUUUGUCCAGAAGGGCGCCUUCGCCACUGAUGUUCCUUCCGAUAUCUACGCAUUUCACCGCUACACCGGAAAUUCCCCCUUCCUCUACUCUACUCUAGUCUGACAGUAUUAGAUGGCAUUCCCAAGUUAAGCCCAGGUAUUUCACAUCUAACUUAUCGAACCGCCUACGUGCGCUUUACGCCCAAUAAUUCCGAUUAACGCUUGCACCCUCUGUAUUACCGCGGCGGCUGGCAC